UCCUCGUUUAAGCGAGGCAGUCUGUCCAGAGUGCUCCAAACUCUCGUUUGGGUGGCAACAGGACACAAGGGUUGCGCUCGUUGCGGGACUUAACCCAACAUCUCACGACACGAGCUGACGACAGCCAUGCAGCACCUGUGUAGACUCCCCUUGCGGGGUCGUUACCCUUUCAGGCUUCUACCACCUACAUGUCAAGGCCAGGUAAGGUUCUUCGCGUUGCAUCGAAUUAAGCCACAUACUCCACCGCUUGUGCAGGCCCCCGUCAAUUUCUUUGAGUUUUAAUCUUGCGACCGUACUCCCCAGGCGGCACGUUUAACGCGUUAGCUUCGCCACGAAAGGGGUCGAUUCCUCUCACAGCAAACGUGCACCGUUUAAGGCUAGGACUAC
This 387-nucleotide unclassified non-coding RNA is filed under the name uncultured Verrucomicrobiae bacterium. RNAcentral describes it as "contains 16S-23S intergenic spacer region". Lineage: Bacteria; Pseudomonadati; Verrucomicrobiota; Verrucomicrobiia. The record is from RNAcentral.